CUCGGCCGAGGAGGAGGAGGAGGAGGAGGAGGCGAAGCCACAGUGCCACACCAGCCACCACCCCUCGGCGGCGGCUCCUCCUCCUCGGCUUCCUCCGCCACCAUAUCGCCGUACCAGGAGCUUGCACUCGUCGCGUCGUCGGCGACCAUGUACCGCGCCGCUGGGGGGUCAUCUCCGCUCUCUCAAGCAUCAUGGUGCUAGUAGGUUUGCUAGUACUAGUGUUGUGAAGCAGUCUUCAGUUGGUCUGUUCGGUUGGUUUCUUGGGGGAAAUUCAAGCCAGCUUCCUCCGCUUGAUGUUCCACUCCCAGGCAUUACACUUCCUCCACCACUGCCAGAUUUUGUAGAGCCAUCUAAGACAAAAUCACCACUCUUCCAAAUGGCAUCAAGAUUGCAUCAGAUACAUCGUCGGGGGUUAAAUUCAGAUUCCAGAUGCAUCAGUGGGACUGUACAUUGAUUGUGGUUCUUUUUAUGAAACAUCGGCUUCAUCUGGAACAUCAUAUCUAUUGGAGAGAAUGGCCUUCAAGAGCACAACAAACCGGAGUCACUUGCGGUUAGUUAGGGAGGCAGAAGCAAUCAGAGGGAGUGUCAAAUUAUUUUUCAUUUGAAAAUAUGCCAUUUGACAUUUUCCUUGAAUAAACCAAACAAUCACCCCCCAAUAAAUGCACAUUUCAUGCCAGUAAAAUGUCCUGGUCUGUAAUUAUAACCAUCCCAACACUCACCUUGAAAUACAAGUCAAAGGCUCGAUGAUGUACUCAAGCUUUUCUGCAUGUAUCAUGUGCUUUCCAUACAUUCCACUUGGCUUUGACAUGUGAUGUUAAUUUACCAGAACCCGGAUUUUUGCAUCAAACGCUGUGGAUUUGGCAGCAAGGGAACUCAAUGAAGUUGCAACUUCUGGGAAAGGUUUCUUUCAUUUUUCAUCUCAAAAUUACAAUAUAUUUUCAGGUUAGAUUGAUCCACUAUGUGCACGUCCUUUCCCUGCCUUUUACUUUGUUCAGUUACACAAGAACAGCUUGAUCGUGCUAAAGAGGCUACCAAGUCUUCAGUUCUGAUGGACUUGGAAUCAAGAAUAUUGGAACACAGUUAUUCAUGUGCCUAGCUACGAAUAUGUCAGUUGCAAGUUCCAUUCCAGGUGAGCAUUCAACACCUGGACCUGCGUGGCUUGUUCUGGAAUUUCACGCCCCAGCUUUGCACUGGCAAAUCGAUUGGAAUAAAUAGAGCCCAUACACAUUUUUUGCUGGACAGUUCGAGGGAUCCAUGAUCAUACUACCCUCACUGUUCAUGUUUUCAACUAAGCAAGUAAGCAUGUGCUCAUGCUGCCACAAUUCCGCGGUUCCUAGAUCAUUCGGCGGCGG
Molecule: long non-coding RNA, 1352 nt
Organism: Oryza brachyantha (malo sina)
Lineage: Eukaryota; Viridiplantae; Streptophyta; Magnoliopsida; Poales; Poaceae
Exons: 5
Source: RefSeq, a predicted model, not a curated record